AAGGAAAAACAAGACCAAGUUCUUCAUUUUUCCUUCAUCAAAUCUUCAUCAAACCUCUUCCAAUUCACUCCAAAUUCGAACUACACUUAACUAAACAUAUAGAGAUCCCAUUGAGCUAAGAAAAGGAGCUGCUAUUCACGGUUUUUCUUGUGCUAAGAAAGGCCAAAAAUUCUGACUUUGUUCACCACACAAGUAGGUCACGAUCAACUACCGAAAUCUUGUUUUAUGGAGGUUAAAUUGCGCGUAUAAACUCUUGCAUGCUUGUGGGUGGUCUUGUUUAUGGUGGAUUUGUGUUGUGUGGGCUCUAUGAACUCCCACUUUUGAUGGAAGGACUGAUUUGAUGUUGUAUGAUGAAAUUAAUGGUGGUUUAGUGCUUAUAUUAGUGGAUUAAUGUUGUAUUGUUUGUAGAAAAUCAAAGGAGGUGCUUGGAGCAAAAGUGACCGUUUUACCCCUGCCUUGUCCGACCAUUUUGUGCACAAUUUUGAAGUUCUAAUGACUUGAUUAUGUUGUUUACAUGUUAUUGUGAGUGUGUACAAAAUUUCAUUGAAAAAUAACAUGAUUUGGUUGGUCAAAUGAGUUGAUUUCCAAAGUUAGCAAAACUGGAAAAUGAAUCCCGUAUUGCCCAAGCAGUCAUUUUGUAUCGGCUAUAACUCAUUGCUCCGAUGUCGAAAUCAAGUGCCGUUUGUAGCAUUGGAAAAUAGACAUUCCCAGCUUUCCAUUGGUACCAAUUUCAUGUUCUGGUUCUACUUGAGUGAGCCACACCAUUCGAUUGAAAAUCACUGUCCUGUUUCGUUUCUCUCCAGGAGACAGGACAGGACUUGUAUCUUGAUGCUCAAAAACGAGCUGUUUGUGGAUAGAAUUUGAAAAUGGUUUCUUCUGAUAAAAUUCAGCUUUAUAAGAGAGCUUUCCAACGCCAUCAACCACGUCCAAUUCCAAGUUGAAUUGAGUGAGUUGUGGCCAAAGUUUGAAACUGCUACAGUGAUAGAAUUUUCCACUUGGACAGAUUUGUAACUAACAAUGAUUUGGGACUUGUUGUUUUGGAAACUUUGAUGUCCAACAUCUACCAAACUUUAUAUCAGAUGUUCCUUGGACUUUGUUUCACAAAUAAACCAGAUUUGGAUUGGUUGCUUUGGAUAAAAUGUUUAAAAAGGAAAGAAGAGCUAGAAGACAGUUUUACCUUGGGGGAAAUUUCUUGAACUUUGAUGGUUUAGUUAACUACCUUCUCGUGUGAAUUUUCAAAUGAAAUUUGAUAGAAGAGUAAUCCUCAUAUGGAGGUUUAAUUGUGCAAAAAUUUGGUAAUAUUCUAAGACCAUUUUGAUAUGCAAAUGAUGUCACAAAAUUCGUUCAUCGAAUCUGGAAAACUUUUUGUUUUCUCUUAGCCAAACGGUCAAAUCUGAUUUGGGGAGUUUUAUUUCGAAAAUUUGGAUGUCAAUGGUCUUUAAAUUACUCAGUGGAUGUUUAUGAACUCUUGGCUUCAAUAAUGGAGAGAUUUGGAACUGAUUUCAUGGUACAAAAAGUUUGUAAACAAAAGAAAAGUGAGAAGGUAGUUUAGCCUUGAAACUCUUCAUAAACUUUGGUUGUUUUAAUGACUGCCUUACCGUGAGAGUUUUUGUAUGAAACUUGGUAGAAAUGUUGUUCACACAUGGAAGAUUUAGUGUACCAAGUUUGAUGUAUUUCCACUGCCAAUUCGAUGACCAAAUGAUACUUCGAAUCUAGUCUUCAAACCUGGAAAAUAGCCCAACAGUCUUAACUUUUUCAGCAACUUGGAGCUACUAUAUCUUGGUGCUCGAAACUCCGUUUCUCAAUCCGCUUGUUUUGUUAUACUCUUGGAUUGCAACACUAAUUUAUUUCCAAAUUUCAAAGGUUAGUUCAAAACAAGUGAAUUUUUCUGAAUUUCCAAAGUUGGCCAAAAACCAACUUAAAUCUGUCUUGGUAAUUCAAGUUACCAACUUUGAGCCAAAAUUUGAGUGCCUUUCACUUACAUGCAUGGAAAAGUGCCUUCUAAGAACUUUUAGUACUUUCAAAGGGGUUUCCAAUGGUACCAAGUUUUCCCAUUUUUGACAUGCAGAAUGUGAGAUACGAUUUUUCAAAGUAUCGUAUCAAACCUGAAAAUUUUCCGAAUUCCAAGGGAAGGGAGUUUUCAAAUACUCCUUAUUCCUUCGAUAUUACUCAAACAUUUUAUACUUGAUUUCUAAAAUGAAAUCUCGAUUGCUCAUGUACUGUAAGAAACUCCACUUGAACCUCGAUUUACGAGUAAUUGAGGUUCAUUUUCAUAAGAUUUCCUUAGAUCGCAGUAGCAUACAAUCUUCCUUGAUAAUUAGAGAUUCGUAGUGAUAUUGAGUGGUAGUUGAUUAUUGUUUGCUCAGGCACUCGAGGGAAUCUCCAAGAGGAACUCGGAGCUGACACCUAAACGCUUGUUGAGAAC
Molecule: long non-coding RNA, 2425 nt
Filed under: Coffea arabica (coffee)
Lineage: Eukaryota; Viridiplantae; Streptophyta; Magnoliopsida; Gentianales; Rubiaceae
Description: long non-coding RNA (CARA_LNC002340)
Source: RNAcentral